UCGAAGACAGAGAAAGCAGAGGGAGGCAGACAGAGAGUCAGGGAGUUAUUGCAUUAGAGAGUUACUGCAUAACAGAGUUAUAUCAUUAGUUAGAGUGUCAUUUUAUUAGCUAGAGACUUACAGUGUUAGAGAGCUGUACUGAUUAAUAAGAGAGGGAACGGAAGUGUACAGAAAAUCAUUGUACCUUUUAAAAAGGGCACAUUCAGAAUGAGGACAUAUCCAAGUUCUGGAGGAUGUUUUGACAAGAUGUUAUCAGUUCCUCCAGCUCCUUUGCUGCACUCUCUGCAAGCUGCUCAUGACAAUAAAUUCAUGUCAAGCCUG
Molecule: long non-coding RNA, 321 nt
Organism: Podarcis raffonei (Aeolian wall lizard)
Lineage: Eukaryota; Metazoa; Chordata; Lepidosauria; Squamata; Lacertidae
Exons: 2
Source: RefSeq, a predicted model, not a curated record